CCGGAGGUAGAGCACUGGAUGGACUAGGGCCCCCACCAGGGUACCAAACCCAACCAAACUACGAAUGCCGGUAAGUCGUUCCGCGGGAGUCAGACGGCGGGAGCUAACUUUCGUCGUCGAAAGGGAAACAACCCAGACCGUCAGCUAAGGCCCCCAAGUCAUGGCUAAGUGGGAAAGGAAGUGGGAACGCCCAGACAACCAGGAGGUUAGCUUAGAAGCAGCUACCCUUUAAAGAAAGCGUAAUAGCUCACUGGUCAAGCGGGCCUGCACCGAAAAUAUAACGGGGCUUAAGCCAUGCGCCGAAGCUGCGGAUCGUCCUUCGGGACGAUGGUAGGGGAGCGUUCCCCGUGCGGAGAAGCUGUGGUGAGAACCAUGGUGGAGCGCGGGGAAGUGAGGAUGUUGGCAUGAGUAACGAAAAUGCGGGCGAGAAACCCGCACGCCGAAAGUCCAAGGGUUCCUGGGCCAGGUUAAUCCGCCCAGGGUUAGUCGGCACCUAAGGCGAGGCCGAAAGGCGUAGUCGAAGGAAAACCGGUUCAUAUUCCGGUACUUGCGGUGACGCGUGAUGGAGGGACGCAGGAGGAUAGGUCGGCCGGGUGAUGGAUGUCCCGGUUUAAGGCGGUAGCCGGAAGCUCUAGGCAAAUCCGGAGCUUCAACGGCGAGAGCUGAUGACGAGAGGCUUUGCCUCACAAAGCGAUUGAUUCCACACUGCCAAGAAAAGCUUCUAAGCAUAGUCACGGCAAACCGUACCCCAAACCGACACAGGUGGACAGGUAGAGAAUACCAAGGCGCUUGAGAGAAACCAUGUUAAGGAACUCUGCAAAUUAACUCCGUACCUUUGGAAGAAGGAGUGCCCACAAAGUGAAGGGGCUUGCCCCCGGAGCUUAGCUGGGUCGCAGUGACCAGGCCUGGCCGACUGUUUAGCAAAAACAUAGCACUCUGCAAACUCGCAAGAGGAAGUAUAGGGUGUGACGCCUGCCCGGUGCCGGAAGGUUAACAGGAGAGGUCAGCUUCGGCGAAGCCUCGAAUCGAAGCCCCGGUAAACGGCGGCCGUAACUAUAACGGUCCUAAGGUAGCGAAAUUCCUUGUCGGGUAAGUUCCGACCUGCACGAAUGGCGUAACGAUCCGGGCGCUGUCUCAACGUGGUUCUCAGUGAAAUUGAAAUAGCGGUGAAGAUACCGUUAACCCGCAGCAAGACGGAAAGACCCCGUGAACCUUUACUGCAGCUUGGCAGUGGAUUCGGGAAGAGCUUGUGUAGGAUAGGUGGGAGGCUUAGAAGUCGGUGCGCCAGCGCCGGUGGAGCCGUCCUUGAAAUACCACCCUGGUUUUUUCGGAAUUCUAACCUCGUCCCGUGAUCCGGGACAGGGACCCUGCCUGGUGGGCGGUUUGACUGGGGCGGUCGCCUCCCAAAGCGUAACGGAGGCGCGCAAUGGUUCCCUCAGAGUGAUUGGAAACCACUCGUAGAGUGCAAAGGCAUAAGGGAGCCUGACUGCGAGAGAGACAUCUCAAGCAGGGACGAAAGUCGGUCUUAGUGAUCCGGUGGUUCCUUGAGGAAGGGCCAUCGCUCAACGGAUAAAAGGUACUCCGGGGAUAACAGG
This 1595-nucleotide ribosomal RNA is filed under the name marine metagenome. RNAcentral describes it as "bacterial LSU rRNA". It matches the Rfam family "Bacterial large subunit ribosomal RNA", at positions 896 to 2481 of the family's 2925-position model. The record is from RNAcentral.